Small nucleolar RNA from Acomys russatus (golden spiny mouse), 132 nucleotides. RefSeq annotates it as small nucleolar RNA SNORA17. NCBI's taxonomy places the organism in Eukaryota, Metazoa, Chordata, Mammalia, Rodentia, Muridae. The transcript has a single exon. The record is from RefSeq and is a predicted model, not a curated record.
CCUGCCCCCAGAAGUACUGCAAAUAUGGUUUCUGUGUCACAUGGGCAUCAGUAGGUGGCAGAGAGGAGAGAGGUUAUGUAUAUUCUCCAUGCUUUGAUGUGUGAACAUCUGAGUGAUUAGUAGGAUGACAUU